GUAACAAGGUUUCCGUAGGUGAACCUGCGGAAGGAUCAUUACCUAGAGUUGUAGGCUUUGCCUGCUAUUUCUUACCCAUGUCUUUUGAGUACCUUACGUUUCCUCGGUGGGUUCGCCCACCGAUUGGACAAAUUUAAACCCUUUGCAGUUGAAAUCAGCGUCUGAAAAAACUUAAUAGUUACAACUUUCAACAACGGAUCUCUUGGUUCUGGCAUCGAUGAAGAACGCAGCGAAAUGCGAUAAGUAGUGUGAAUUGCAGAAUUCAGUGAAUCAUCGAAUCUUUGAACGCACAUUGCGCCCCUUGGUAUUCCAUGGGGCAUGCCUGUUCGAGCGUCAUUUGUACCUUCAAGCUCUGCUUGGUGUUGGGUGUUUGUCUCCUGUAGACUCGCCUUAAAACAAUUGGCAGCCGGCGUAUUGAUUUCGGAGCGCAGUACAUCUCGCGCUUUGCACUCAUAACGACGACAUCCAAAAGUACAUUUUUACACUCUUGACCUCGGAUCAGGUAGGGAUACCCGCUGAACUUAAGCAU
RNAcentral lists this ribosomal RNA (529 nucleotides) under Phoma herbarum. RNAcentral describes it as "eukaryotic LSU rRNA". The stretch from base 183 to 336 matches the Rfam family "5.8S ribosomal RNA". Lineage: Eukaryota; Fungi; Ascomycota; Dothideomycetes; Pleosporales; Didymellaceae. The record is from RNAcentral.